GACGAACGCUUGCGGCGUGCUUAACACAUGCAAGUCGAACGGAAAGGCCCUGCUUUUGUGGGGUGCUCGAGUGGCGAACGGGUGAGUAACACGUGAGUAACCUGCCCUUGACUUUGGGAUAACUUCAGGAAACUGGGGCUAAUACCGGAUAGGAGCUCCUGCUGCAUGGUGGGGGUUGGAAAGUUUCGGCGGUUGGGGAUGGACUCGCGGCUUAUCAGCUUGUUGGUGGGGUAGUGGCUUACCAAGGCUUUGACGGGUAGCCGGCCUGAGAGGGUGACCGGCCACAUUGGGACUGAGAUACGGCCCAGACUCCUACGGGAGGCAGCAGUGGGGAAUAUUGCACAAUGGGCGGAAGCCUGAUGCAGCAACGCCGCGUGCGGGAUGACGGCCUUCGGGUUGUAAACCGCUUUCGCCUGUGACGAAGCGUGAGUGACGGUAAUGGGUAAAGAAGCACCGGCUAACUACGUGCCAGCAGCCGCGGUGAUACGUAGGGUGCGAGCGUUGUCCGGAUUUAUUGGGCGUAAAGGGCUCGUAGGUGGUUGAUCGCGUCGGAAGUGUAAUCUUGGGGCUUAACCCUGAGCGUGCUUUCGAUACGGGUUGACUUGAGGAAGGUAGGGGAGAAUGGAAUUCCUGGUGGAGCGGUGGAAUGCGCAGAUAUCGGGAGGAACACCAGUGGCGAAGGCGGUUCUCUGGGCCUUUCCUGACGCUGAGGAGCGAAAGCGUGGGGAGCGAACAGGCUUAGAUACCCUGGUAGUCCACGCUGUAAACGGUGGGUACUAGGUGUGGGGUCCAUUCCACGGGUUCCGUGCCGUAGCUAACGCUUUAAGUACCCCGCCUGGGGAGUACGGCCGCAAGGCUAAAACUCAAAGGAAUUGACGGGGCCCCGCACAAGCGGCGGAGCAUGCGGAUUAAUUCGAUGCAACGCGUAGAACCUUACCUGGGUUUGACAUGGAUCGGGAGUGCUCAGAGAUGGGUGUGCCUCUUUUGGGGUCGGUUCACAGGUGGUGCAUGCCUGUCGUCAGCUCGUGUCGUGAGAUGUUGGGUUAAGUCCCGCAACGAGCGCAACCCUUGUUCACUGUUGCCAGCACGUUAUGGUGGGGACUCAGUGGAGACCGCCGGGGUCAACUCGGAGGAAGGUGGGGAUGACAUCAAGUCAUCAUGCCCCUUAUGUCCAGGGCUUCACGCAUGCUACAAUGGCUGGUACAGAGAGUGGCGAGCCUGUGAGGGUGAGCGAAUCUCGGAAAGCCGGUCUCAGUUCGGAUUGGGGUCUGCAACUCGACCUCAUGAAGUCGGAGUCGCUAGUAAUCGCAAAUCAGCAACGCUGCGGUGAAUACGUUCCCGGG
Molecule: ribosomal RNA, 1343 nt
Filed under: uncultured bacterium
Lineage: Bacteria
Description: 16S ribosomal RNA
Rfam family: Bacterial small subunit ribosomal RNA
Source: RNAcentral